CUACGGGGGGCUCCAGUGAGGAAUAUUGCACAAUGGGGGGAACCCUGAUGCAGCAACGCCGCGUGGAGGAUGACGCAUUUCGGUGUGUAAACUCCUUUUAUAUGUCAAGGAAAUGACGGUAGCAUAUGAAUAAGCACCGGCUAACUCCGUGCCAGCAGCCGCGGUAAUACGGAGGGUGCGAAGCGUUACUCGGAAUCACUGGGCGUAAAGGACGCGUAGGCGGGUUGGAAAGUCAGGUGUGAAAUCCUACAGCUUAACUGUAGAACUGCACUUGAAACUUCUAAUCUAGAGUAUGGGAGGGGGAGAUGGAAUUAGUGGUGUAGGGGUAAAAUCCGUAGAUAUCACUAGGAAUACCUAAAGCGAAGGCGAUCUCCUGGAACAUUACUGACGCUAAGGCGUGAAAGCGUGGGGAGCAAACAGGAUUAGAUACCCGGGUAGUC
Molecule: ribosomal RNA, 440 nt
Filed under: uncultured bacterium
Lineage: Bacteria
Description: partial 16S ribosomal RNA
Rfam family: Bacterial small subunit ribosomal RNA
Source: RNAcentral